CAGUCGCCACGGUAAUACGGAGGGUGCAAGCGUUAAUCGGAAUUACUAGGCGUAAAGCGCACGCAGGCGGUUUGUUAAGUCAGAUGUGAAAUCCCCGAGCUUAACUUGGGAACUGCAUUUGAAACUGGCAAGCUAGAGUCUUGUAGAGGGGGGUAGAAUUCCAGGUGUAGCGGUGAAAUGCGUAGAGAUCUGGAGGAAUACCGGUGGCGAAGGCGGCCCCCUGGACAAAGACUGACGCUCAGGUGCGAAAGCGUGGGGAGCAAACAGGAUUAGAUACCCCUGUAGUCCCUGUCUCUUAUAC
Molecule: ribosomal RNA, 301 nt
Filed under: uncultured bacterium
Lineage: Bacteria
Description: partial 16S ribosomal RNA
Rfam family: Bacterial small subunit ribosomal RNA
Source: RNAcentral